CGCGGGGUGGAGCAGCUUGGUAGCUCGUCGGGCUCAUAACCNNGUUCAAAUCCGGCCCCCGCAACCA
RNAcentral lists this transfer RNA (67 nucleotides) under Pectobacterium versatile. Its description in RNAcentral is "tRNA-Met". Lineage: Bacteria; Pseudomonadati; Pseudomonadota; Gammaproteobacteria; Enterobacterales; Pectobacteriaceae. The record is from RNAcentral.